UUCAUGUUUUGUUAUAUAUAUAUACACAUGUAUACACAUAUAUAUUAGAUCACUAUUGUAGAUGAUAGGCUUUAUAUAUAUGAUUAAUAAAUAAAUUCACAUAUAGGAAAAAAAAAGUUAACACAACAUUAUGCAAUUUCCCAGAGCUCUGAAUAACUGCUUGGAGCAAGCCUUGCCAAUAGAAAUCUCAGCAGGGAAUUAGCAGGUGCUGCCUCUACAGAUGGUUUGAGAAGCCAAGGCUUUGGUCUGGGGCAAUGAGAAAAGAGAGAUUUGGGGCUUCUCACUAUUCCUGAAUAACUGUGAAUUUGGAAUGAUACUUUUAGCCACCAUAUAACCUGGGAGGGUUGGCAGCCUAGAAACACUUGUGUAUAGUUACAGGGUAGGAAUGGGUAGAGAAGAGAGGUUGGUGUCAAUGUGGAGGCCUCUAGUAAACUGAGCUUUUGAUUUCCACACUGGACAACGAGGGCCACAUAAGCGAUAUUCUUCUAAUACAAUCAAUGAAUUUUCAGAGUUCCCUUAAAAAUCGUUUCCAUUGUAAAUUUGACUUGACCUUGUUUCCUCAUGACUGCCACCACUAAACCUCAAUUGUCUUUACUUCUUUCUGGGUAGGGAGCUUUAGUUUCAUACAGUUAGUUUUUCACUGUAUUCCUUCUAGUGAAUAUUGUAAAAGUUUUAUUUCUCUUCUACAGAAUAGAAUAUGCUUGCUUCAAUGUCCUUGGCCGCAAAACUUAGGGAAUCAGGUGCUAACAACCAUCUAGAGACUAGCUGGAGAAAAGUUCAAUGUUUGGACACCCUCUUAGGGUAGCCCUUGGUAAGUCCAGUUGACUUUUCCAUUCCAUUCCAUUGCAACUUUCAUUACUAAUUAACUCCAUUUGGAAUUGUGAAACCACUUUUUCUUAUUCUUCUGUUUCUUCUUCCCUGUUAUUCCUGGACAUCUGCUGCAUAAUCAGCCGACAGAACUGAGCUUUGUGAGGUUUGUUUUUACUUUGUUUUGUUUUUUUCAUAGUCAAGUGGUAAUAAUACUGGACUAUUAGUAGUGGGAGAGUCAUGGAAAUGUAAUAGUGAUUGAGAGAAAGCCUAAAAUCAUAAGGUCAUAAGAUCAAUUUCAAUUAUUUUCAUGCAAAUCACCAGCUUUGAUCCUCUGUAAGAAUAGUCCAUAAAUUCUCGGGCAAAUGAAUGAUACACUAUAUUUUAAAGAGAGUUUGGUUUAUACACCUAUUUUAUGGAUCACAUCUAAUAUUUAACCUAAUGAGAGCCUGAAUAUUGUACAUUACUCAUGUCAACAAAUAACUGCAGAGUCUCCAGUGAGUGUCUUAGUUGGAUAAAGACUCAAGUGUCUGGAGUAUAACCAACACCAUGCUAAAAGAAGCAAGGUGUUUGCUAUUGAAAGAUAAUACUGUGCUUUGAAUUGUUAAAACACAUCAUAACCAGUGAAUUCUAAGCAUUUCUAAUGUUGGGACCAAUAUAAAAUAAUAAUAACGGCACAUUGACUAUUACUAAUCACAUAAAAUCAUCAUUAAAUAAUUUGAAUGCAUUCUUAUUUAACUCUUCUUACCAUCUUAGGAAGUUGAUGACAUUAUGUCCCCAUUUUAAAGAUGAGAAGAGGAAUUAGAUCAUUUACUGCAAGGUAGUGCAGCUGGAAACCUUCAGAGCGGGAGUUUUAAACUAAGGCCACUGGCUCCAAAGCCCCAGCUCUUUGCUACUCUGCUCUACUGCCUCAUUCUCAACUGGUUUCUGACUGGAAACCCAAAAGGUAUAUUUGCCCUCUACUAAUGGAAAAACUGAGCUUAAAACGGGCAAAUACUACUUUGUUCCAAAUCACUACAAUUUGUGGAAAACCUAGGUUAAUGUGCAAUUAGCAAAAGCCAAUGUCUAGAGGACAAGAAUUUUGUGUAUGGUUCUUACCAUCUAAAAAUGGUAACUAAUAUCUUUUUAGGACUAAUCAUGUGUCAGGCACUAUGUAUUAAGUGCUUUCACCUCAAACUUUUAAUAUUCACAACAACCUAAUGAAGUAGGUCCUAUUAGUAAACUCAUUCUACAGACAAGAAAACUGAGGCACAGGAAGAGGGAAUAACUUGCCCAAGAUCACACUGCUAGCAAGUAAGGGGCUUUGUUUCAGAGUCUGUGCUCCACCGUACCCGACUAUCUCACCUUUCUGCUUGUACCUUAGCCACUGAGUACCAAACCUCCUGGUGAAACUUUGGGCUUCAAAGACCCUUAUCUUCUGAAUGAUACACACCAAAUAAAUAAUGCAUGAGAUCAGCUAAUAAGAGAUCAUGGAAAUAUUGAGUAGUAGCAGACAGAAUUGAAGACAAAAUUAGUAAUUUUAUCAUGAGAAUAU
Molecule: long non-coding RNA, 2341 nt
Filed under: Callithrix jacchus (white-tufted-ear marmoset)
Lineage: Eukaryota; Metazoa; Chordata; Mammalia; Primates; Cebidae
Description: lncRNA (ENSCJAG00000073150.1)
Source: RNAcentral